CCCUUAGAUGUUCUGGGCCGCACGCGCGCUACACUGAUGCAUUCAACGAGUCUAAAACCUGCUCUGAUAGGGGUGGGUAAUCUUUUGAAUGUGCAUCGUGAUUGGGAUAGAUGAUUGCAAUUUUUCAUCUUCAACGAGGAAUGCCUAGUAAACGCAAGUCAUCAGCUUGCAUUGAUUACGUCCCUGCCCUUUGUACACACCGCCCGUCGCUCCUACCGAUUGAAUGAUCCGAUGAAUAUCAUGGACUGAGGAUGCAAGCAGGUUCGCCUGUCUUCAUCUUCGAGAAGUGAAGUAAAUCUUAUCAUUUAGAGGAAGGAGAAGUCGUAACA
RNAcentral lists this ribosomal RNA (329 nucleotides) under uncultured eukaryote. RNAcentral's name for it is "partial 18S ribosomal RNA". It matches the Rfam family "Eukaryotic small subunit ribosomal RNA", at positions 1470 to 1796 of the family's 1831-position model. The record is from RNAcentral.